CCUACGGGAGGCAGCAGUGGGGAAUAUUGGGCAAUGGACGCAAGUCUGACCCAGCAACGCAGCGUGAAGGAAGAAGGCUCUCGGGUUGUAAACUUCUUUUAAGGGGGAAGAGAAGAAGACGGUACCCCUUGAAUAAGCCACGGCUAACUACGUGCCAGCAGCCGCGGUAAUACGUAGGUGGCAAGCGUUGUCCGGAUUUACUGGGUGUAAAGGGCGUGAAGCCGGGAGUACAAGGCAGAUGUGAAAUCCCGCGGCUCAACCGCGGAACUGCAUUUGAAACUGUGUUUCUUGAGUAUCGUAGAGGUAAUCGGAAUUCCUAGUGUAGCGGUGAAAGGCGUAGAUAUUAGGAAGAACACCAGUGGCGAAGGCAGAUUACUGGACGACAACUGACGGUGAGGCGCGAAAGCGUGGGGAGCAAACAGGAUUAGAUACCCUUGUAGUC
RNAcentral lists this ribosomal RNA (442 nucleotides) under uncultured bacterium. Its description in RNAcentral is "partial 16S ribosomal RNA". It matches the Rfam family "Bacterial small subunit ribosomal RNA", at positions 338 to 795 of the family's 1533-position model. The record is from RNAcentral.